CCAGCUCGGGGCGCUGGCCCGCGUCGCCGCGCCAGUAGCGCCGCACGGUAUCGCGAAAGCGGUCGUUCCAUUCGGCGAAGCCGGGC
Molecule: transfer RNA, 86 nt
Filed under: Burkholderia multivorans
Lineage: Bacteria; Pseudomonadati; Pseudomonadota; Betaproteobacteria; Burkholderiales; Burkholderiaceae
Description: tRNA-Thr
Source: RNAcentral